This 381-nucleotide non-coding RNA is filed under the name Lottia gigantea (owl limpet). RNAcentral's name for it is "Eukaryotic large subunit ribosomal RNA". It matches the Rfam family "Eukaryotic large subunit ribosomal RNA", at positions 3007 to 3399 of the family's 3401-position model. Lineage: Eukaryota; Metazoa; Mollusca; Gastropoda; Lottiidae. The record is from Rfam by way of RNAcentral.
GGCUACGAGCGGGUAGGACUGACUAGUACGAGAGGAACGUUGGUCCGGGAUUGAAAGCGUUGGUGCUUGGUGGUUUAUUGCCAUUGGGGCUUUGCCUUUGUCCUGGGGCUUACGGCUGAACGCCUCUAAGCCGGAAUCCCGUCCCACGACGUCCGCGUCUGCUUUUCCGAGACGGGCGACAGAACGAUUAGGCCCCUCCUCGCUCUUCCCGAGUGACUGGGGUGGUGUGUGUCCGACCUGUAUAUUUCGGCAGGUGUCUUUCGAAAGCAGGAAAAUCUGCUUGCAGACGACUUGGGUUUGUGCGAGUCGGGGUGUCGUACUCGGUAGAGCGGCCUGUUGUGGCUGCGAUGCGUUGAGACUUGUCCCUCGACUAGGAGAUUU